This is a small nuclear RNA of Nomascus leucogenys (northern white-cheeked gibbon), 107 nucleotides long. Lineage: Eukaryota; Metazoa; Chordata; Mammalia; Primates; Hylobatidae. The record is from Ensembl.
GUGAUCACUUUGGCAGCACAUAUACUAAAACUGGAAUGAUACAGAGAAGAUUAGCAUGGCCUCUACACAAGGAUGACAUACAAAUUUGUGAAGAAUUCCAUAUUUUA